GACGAACGCUGGCGGCGUGCCUAAUACAUGCAAGUAGAACGCUGAAGGAGGAGCUUGCUCUUCUGGAUGAGUUGCGAACGGGUGAGUAACGCGUAGGUAACCUGCCUGGUAGCGGGGGAUAACUAUUGGAAACGAUAGCUAAUACCGCAUAAGAGUAGAUGUUGCAUGACAUUUGCUUAAAAGGUGCAAUUGCAUCACUACCAGAUGGACCUGCGUUGUAUUAGCUAGUUGGUGGGGUAACGGCUCACCAAGGCGACGAUACAUAGCCGACCUGAGAGGGUGAUCGGCCACACUGGGACUGAGACACGGCCCAGACUCCUACGGGAGGCAGCAGUAGGGAAUCUUCGGCAAUGGACGGAAGUCUGACCGAGCAACGCCGCGUGAGUGAAGAAGGGUUUCGGAUCGUAAAGCUCUGUUGUAAGAGAAGAACGAGUGUGAGAGUGGAAAGUUCACACUGUGACGGUAGCUUACCAGAAAGGGACGGCUAACUACGUG
Molecule: ribosomal RNA, 495 nt
Filed under: uncultured bacterium
Lineage: Bacteria
Description: partial 16S ribosomal RNA
Rfam family: Bacterial small subunit ribosomal RNA
Source: RNAcentral